AGCAGUGAUGCUAACCCAGCAGCUAACUACAGCUGGUACAAGGACAAAACUCUGGUCAGUGAAGAACCACAGCUUGUCUUCAGCUCCAUCCAGUCCUCUGACUCUGGAGAGUAUCACUGUACAGCUGAGAACGUUCUGGGCACAAGAUCAUCUGAAAACAUUCAUAUCAACGUCAAAUACACAGAUAAAACAGCAGCUGUAGGAACGAUCACUGCUGUUGUCCUGGCUGUCUCAGUCCUCGCUGUCUCAGUCCUCGCUGUCUUCCUGUGGAUCAGGUGAUCAGUUCUGUGGCUGUGAUCACGUUCACUAAUGCACCACUCCACCAUCAAAUGCUUCCAUUCACUCUGUAUAUUUCUUUAUUCUCGUAUCCAGAAGAAGUAAGUGCUUCACUCAACAGUCUGACGGUGGAGAGAGACCUGGCAACACAGCACAGCUGAACAUGGUUCCAGUGUUGGACAUCCCGUCCUCUGCAGCAGAACCACAGGAUGACGUCCACUACAGCAGCAUCUGCUUCCGGAGGGAGACAGAUGUUGUUCAUUCCAACAGAAGGAGAGAUCAGAGUCAAACAGAGGAGGAAGAGGAGGACACUGUGUACACAACUGUGAGAUUUAACUCUUCUAGUCGUUGCACAAGAACAAGACGCCAAGAAAAUGUGGAGGAUCCAUUUCUACUGUACAGCAUCGUCAAGAAAAACUAAAGCUAAAAAAUGUUCAUUGGAAUUCCAACAUUAGAUCAUGUUCUGAGACUGAUCUGAACAACACUCUGACCCAACAAUAGAACCUGCUGUCCGUCUGAGGCCCAACAGAAGCCAAAUGGAUUUUCUAUGUCAUUCAUCCUUCAUGUUGCUUUCAAUAAUUAUUUUACUUUAACCACUUCUUUUUUGCUUUUCAGUAUUAAUUGUAAAUUAAAUUCAUGUGAUUGACAUUGAGUUGCAUCAGUUACACAGUAGUGAGUCCAAGGGAAGACAGCAACCCUGACCCUAACUUCAUGUAUAAUGAUAGAAGAGAUCAUACAAGUUGUGGGGAAGGAACAGAAAUGUAAUCAAACAAAAUAAAUCUUGAAGCA
Molecule: long non-coding RNA, 1065 nt
Organism: Mugil cephalus (flathead mullet)
Lineage: Eukaryota; Metazoa; Chordata; Actinopteri; Mugiliformes; Mugilidae
Exons: 4
Source: RefSeq, a predicted model, not a curated record